CUGAUAUACCGGUAACACGUUGCUGAUAUUAUGUUUGAUUUAAAAAAAAAAAAUCAAGUUUUUAUUUUCGAUAUGUUUUCUUACAUUGCUAGAAAAUACCCCAAAAUACUUCUGUUGGAUUUUUUUGUUUGUUUUUGAAAGGGGGUUAAAGGGACAAAAUAUUGGCGAGUAGACUGAAUGUCGGUUUCUGACAUAAGGCAAGGGCAGGAGAUUUAUCCUCUUAAAUAAACUUUAAACAAAAUUUGAUUUGUAAAAUAAAUAUAAAUAUUUGGAUAACUACUGGUGAGUUGAUUAAUAAUUAUGCAUCAUAUUUUUUUUCAUGUUUACAGCAAUUGUGUUUUCAUCAUUUUGGUGCUUGUUCAAUAUCUCUGUCCAUGAUUUUUAAGCUUGAAUUUAAAUGUCUUAAAAGAAUUAUGUAUGUUAUUCUAAACACCUGUAUACAUGUUUAAAUAAUUUUUCCAUUUGAAUGUAAAAUAUGCAAUGAUUGAGGUCACAUUAACUGCUGCAUUGCAAUAAAUGUCACUAUUAUUGAUUUCCCCGGUAUCAGGAUUAGGAUUGACAAACUUUAACCAAUUUCAAUCAUUAGAAUAAAUGAUCAUGGAUCUCGGUUUCAGCCUUAAAACCCAGGUUGUUCUUUGUUUGUUUGGGUUUUUUUAACAUUGGUUGUGUGGUGCUGCUGAAGGCAUUAUUACCUUGGUAGAUGCUUAUUUACCGAGGUGUCAAUCAAUCAAAUUACCGUAGGCAGACUUAUUUAACUGUAGCAAGAGGUACCUGCAUUUUACUUUCAAAUUAUGUGCAAUUUGAAUUUCGGUACUUGCAUUUUUGUAUCAAAUCAUCAUAAUUAAAAAUUAAGCAUUUUACAAAUGAUUUAGAAGUUUGCAUGUCAUAAUCUACCUAAUGAGUGCCCAUGUCCCUUAUAGUGCUUUUGUUAGGGAUUGUUUCUCACUGCAUGAUCUUUUUUCCAUAAAUCAUGGACUCCCUUUUCUUUUGAAGCAAAGAACACAUGUAAUAACAUUUGUGAAUGAUUUGUCUAAAAUUGUCUUAAUUUACCAGUAAAUUACUAAAUAGAUAAAACUGUAUUUUAAGAAAAAUGAAUGAUAUACUGCAUGUAUACUAGAUUAGGUUUUUAAACUUAUGAUGAUUAAAUCUAAUUCUUAACUUGUUUUGUAAAAUGAAAAAGAAAUUGUGAAAUCAAAACAACUGCUCCUUUUUUGCAAUUUCCUAUUUAGGGACAAUGGGCACUAGGUUGGAAGAAUAUGCCUUGGUAUUUUAAAUUGUCGGUAAAUCUGUUUUGUUUUUUUCUCACUAUGAUAUUACUGUUUAAAUCAUGCAAUUUGCCACUUGCUUUUGAACAGCAUUUUUUCUUAUUUUUGCAAGAGAGGCACUUGUAUAACUUAUAAAUGUUUUUGGGUUUUUUAGACUGCAAUACCUAUGCAAGUUUUUUCAAUAAUCUUGAGCAAUUGUUGCUGAACUUUCAAUAUUGAACAAUAUACUAAAGCUUAAGUUUCCUUUGUUAUUUUGUGAUCGGCAUUCUUUGGUGUAUGUUGAUUAUUUUUAUAGCUGAAACAACACUGAAAAUUAGAUUAUAAUUUCAGUAUUAUGUACAGUAUAUGUAUGUUUUAUUUUUCAAGACUCAAAACCCAGAAUUUAUCUUUAGUUUCUUAUAAGUAUGAUAACAAAAAUUAACAUUUGUGAAUUCUGUAGUUUAACUUGAAAGCUUUUUUUUUUUUAACUUGAAAAGUGAACAAUGAUUGAGUGUUCCAUAUUGAAAUAGGUGUUUUAAUUAAUUAAUUUUAAUCAAUUUGUACAGAAUUUCCAAUGGAUUGUACCUUAUUAUUCCUGCCAUCAAAAAAAACUGGUAGUGUAUUAUUAAGUUGUGAAAAUAUGUAUAGGAAAAAACAAUUUGUGAACCAAAGGCCAGUGUAUCAAUUUAAAAUGAAAAUUAUCUAUUUAUCUCACUGAUAAUCUGUUAAUUCUAAAUCAUAUGCUUUUGUUCAUAAAAAGAGAAUAUGUAUAGGAAAUAAAAAUUCCAUGUUUUGUUAGCCAAAAUUUAAGGCUAGUGUAUCAAUUUUAAAAUGAAAAUUAUCUAUAUAUCUUCCUGAUAAGUUGUUUACUAGUAUUCUAAAUCAUAUGCUUUGGUUCAUAGAAAAGAGAACAGGAAAUUGUUAUUGUCAUCUGACAUAUUGUGAUUUCAUGGUCUGUUUUCCUGGAAGUUGGGCAGGAAGGAUGGAAAUGAAAGAUAUACCUGUUUGUCACAUAUCAGAUAUAUACUAGCAUGAAUAUGUGUAAUUUAAGGACAGGGAAACUCAUUCAGGUUUUGGUGCAUUGAUCAUAUUAAGAAUAUGACUCUUAAAUUUUUGGUUGUUGGAACUGAGUCAUGAAUUUCAAUUGUGAUAAUUAAGCUUCAAGUAUUUGGUGUAAAUUCUAUAUCUUUUUUUAUUUAAAAGGAAAACAAAAAUAAGUUGUACAUUGUUUUGUUUUGUUUUUCUGAUGCUUUGUAUUAUAAUGGUGACGGUGGAUUUGCAGAGAACUGUGUUAGCCAAACUGUGGACCAUUUGAAACCUAUAACCUUUAGUGAUGUUCCUCUUACAUGUACACCGUACAUGUAAAGAAUGUUACAGACUGUCAAGUUCAAAGAUUUCCUUAAUAAAUGGAAAGUCUCUUCAAA
Molecule: long non-coding RNA, 2668 nt
Organism: Magallana angulata
Lineage: Eukaryota; Metazoa; Mollusca; Bivalvia; Ostreida; Ostreidae
Exons: 2
Source: RefSeq, a predicted model, not a curated record